CGGGGGGCAGCAGUGGGGAAUCUUGCGCAAUGGGCGAAAGCCUGACGCAGCAACGCCGCGUGCGGGAUGAAGGCCUUCGUGGUUGUAAACCGCUUUCAGCAGGGACGAAAAUGACGGUACCUGCAGAAGAAGCCCCGGCUAACUACGUGCCAGCAGCCGCGGUAAUACGUAGGGGGCAAGCGUUGUCCGGAAUCAUUGGGCGUAAAGAGCUCGUAGGCGGUUCAGUAAGUCAGGUGUGAAAGCUCCGAGCUCAACUCGGAGAGGCCACCUGAUACUGCUGUGACUAGAAUCCAGUAGGGGAGUGUGGAACUCCUGGUGUAGCGGUGAAAUGCGCAGAUAUCAGGAAGAACACCAGCGGCGAAGGCGGCACUCUGGGCUGGAAUUGACGCUGAGGAGCGAAAGUGUGGGUAGCAAACAGGAUUAGAUACCCCAGU
This 434-nucleotide ribosomal RNA is filed under the name uncultured Microthrixaceae bacterium. RNAcentral's name for it is "bacterial SSU rRNA". It matches the Rfam family "Bacterial small subunit ribosomal RNA", at positions 342 to 791 of the family's 1533-position model. Lineage: Bacteria; Bacillati; Actinomycetota; Acidimicrobiia; Acidimicrobiales; Microthrixaceae. The record is from RNAcentral.